RNAcentral lists this ribosomal RNA (77 nucleotides) under Geobacillus stearothermophilus. RNAcentral's name for it is "partial 16S ribosomal RNA". It matches the Rfam family "Bacterial small subunit ribosomal RNA", at positions 1 to 75 of the family's 1533-position model. The record is from RNAcentral. Lineage: Bacteria; Bacillati; Bacillota; Bacilli; Caryophanales; Anoxybacillaceae.
UUUCUUUGGAGAGUUUGAUCCUGGCUCAGGACGAACGCUGGCGGCGUGCCUAAUACAUGCAAGUCGAGCGGACCGGA